AGCAGAAUAACUCAUCCUCUCCCCAGAGAUGUCCGUUCUCUAAUCCGUGAAACGGGUGAACAUGUUACCUUCCAUGGCAAAAGGGACUUGGCAGAUGCAAUUAAGGUAUGGACCUUGAAUUGGGAAGAGUUCCCUAGAGUGUCCAGGUGGAUCCAAUAUAACUACAUGAGUUUUUAGAAGUGGAAGAGUAAGACAGAAGAGUGGGUCAGAGAGAUGCAACAACGGAAGAAGAGGAGGAGAAGUGGCAGCUUGAGAGAAACUCAACCCACUACUGCUGGCUUUAAAAAUGGAGGAAGAGGGCCAGGCGCGGUGGCUCAUGCUUGUAAUCCCAGCACUUUGGGAGGCAAAGUUGUGCGGAUCACGAGGUCAGGAGUUUGAGACAAGCCUGAUCAACAUGGUGAAACCCCAUCUCUAAAAAAAUACAAAAAUUAGCUGGGUGUAGUGGUGCGCGCCUAUAGUCCCAGCUGCUCAGGAGUCUGAGGCAGGGGAAUGGCGUGAACCCGGGAAGCGGAGCUUGCAGUGAGCCGAGAUCGCACCACUGCACUCCAGCCCGGGCAACAGAGUGAGACUCCAUCUCAAAAGAAAAAAAAAAGAAAGAAAAUGGAGGAAGGAGACCCACCAUGAGCCAAGGAAUGCAGAUGGCUUCUCAAAGCUGAGAACAGUCCUUAGCUGAUAGCCAGAGCAAGAUAAUAAAGACCUCAGUUCUACAAUCACAAGGAACUGAAUUCUGCCAACAACCUGAAUGCACCAAGAGACAGACUCUUCCAAAGAUCCCUCAGAAAGAGACACAGACGUGCAGGUAUCUUGAUUUCAGCCUCACAGACACCCAUGUCAGACUUCUGACCUGCAGAACUCUAAGGUAGAAGGAAAAGAAGACAAAAGAUGUACCAGAACUUCACUUUUUACCACUGACACGAGCUACUUCUUUGUUGAAUCAGGUCUAGACAACUAGCAAAACAAUAAAUCAAAUAAUGACUUCUAGCAUCAGCCAAUUUCUGCAACCAUGAUAUCCGUGAAGGCAGAGCUGGGAAAAGAAGAGCCGUAGCAGCACACCAUAUUACAGUGUUUCUCCUAUUCAAAUACAAGAGAUCUAAAUUACCUCAAGGCCAUAGAAAACAGU
Long non-coding RNA from Homo sapiens (human), 1120 nucleotides. RefSeq annotates it as GBA3 antisense RNA 1. The record is from RefSeq and is a predicted model, not a curated record. The transcript is spliced from 3 exons. NCBI's taxonomy places the organism in Eukaryota, Metazoa, Chordata, Mammalia, Primates, Hominidae.